GGAUCCCAAGGGGCUUCUGAUCAGAUAACAAUAGGCAGUCUCUACCUCCCACUGACCAAGCUUUGGUCCAGAAGGGACCAGAAAGGCAGAGCUAGACCUGGGUCAACUUUGGUCACUUCCUCUCCUCAUUCCUGAUGCUCUUUCUUCUCAAGAAAACCUCAUACACAAAGUACCAGAGGCUUGGGUGGUCCACAGUGGAAGUCUCUACUACUUUUCCUGUAUGGACAAAUCCUGGGAAGAGGCUGAGAGGUCCUGUGUGUCACUUGGCUCCCACUUAACCUCAGUGAUCUCAGUGGAAGAGCAGGAAUUUAUUCAUAAAAAAGCUGGUGGUAGCAACUAUUGGAUUGGAUUGAAUAUCCUAAGGAGCUCAGACUGGAGAUGGACUGAUGGGACCCAUUAUAAUGAAGACAGGAGCAAAGACUUUUGGGCACCAAAUGAACCAAACAACAAAGAAAACAGUGAACAUUGCGUCCACUUUUCAAAGAACAGACUCCAAUCGUGGAAUGAUAACAACUGCUCCUUACCCUUCUUGUUCAUCUGUAAAUGGGACUGCAAGUCAUCUGGAUUGUGUCCUUGAAUGUGAAGGCAGUUUCUGAGCUCUGCUGUCUCCCACACCUGAAGAAUGGACACAGAUGUCAAACAUCGUUCCAUCUACCAUCCACACCUUCUCUCUAUUUUUUACUUCUUACUUAAAGCCAAGCAUUCUGGGUCUGAUGAGUUGGGCCAAGUGAUGCUCCCAACCCAUCAGGCAGCCACAGACCCUUCUUUUCACUUCAUCAUUGCUGGAGUAAAGGCCGAGCCAUGCCAUCUACAUGCAUACUUCAUGAGACCUUCACACACACAUAUGAAUAUACAUACAUGCAUAUGUACAUCUUCUUGGUCCUCCCAGGCUUCCCACCUCUACCUAUUGAGCUAGGAAGGAAAUUUGGGGAGAAGGUCUAACACAGAACUCAUAAACUAUCUUGGUUCCUUGGGUUGAUGACUAGUUCUGGAAAUUACAAGGGCCCAGCUCAGGCUACUCCUGAAAUACUUAACCCUCAAGGUCAUUCUGGCUCCCCUCUUCCAAUCAAUUAAACAUUGAUUAAAUUACUACCCUAUGUCAGGCUCUGUGCUUAUCACUGGGGAUGCAAAGACUGAAGGAAAGCAGACCUGUUACAUCCUAAGAGGAGAUGCAGAAAAACCAUGUCAAAAUACAUACUGCAUAAUUAUAAAACAAAAGAAUAGAAUUCUAUACCAAGUAGUUAAAUACAAGGUGGUUUGAGAGUGAGAGUUCCAGCAGGUUGGGGGGAUCAGGAAGCUUCUGAGUAAAUAUGAUAAUUAAAUCCAUGGAAGUUGAUGAGAUCUUGGAGGAUUUAAAAAGUUAGGGGAGAAAACACUGAUCUGGGAGGCAGCAGAGGUCAGUGUCUGGUCUCACCAGAGGUAGUGUGGUAAGCUGGACAUAGCACCAGUAUUGGCAUGAGAAAACCAGGGUGAGAGUAAACUUCACCGAUUGACUCAGUGAUUUCAUUUUUGGAGUCACUUGGCUUCUCCGCCAUAUUUUAAUGACACUUCUAGGAACCCUACCCAGUGAAGUUCCUUAGACACGAGACUUUAUCAGAACAGUUGUCAAGGUGUUUGGGAAUCUGGUCAGAGGCUGAUUUGAUAGUCCUUGGUUUUACAAGAGGCAGUGUCAUAUGGUGUAUAAAGUGCUAAAAGACCUGAGCUGGAGGCCCUCUCUAGAAACUUGCUAACUGUGGGAUCCCAAGGAAAUAUUAUCUCAGCCUUCAUUUGUAUAUCUGUAAAAUGGGGAUAAUCACACCUGUAGCAAUACCUGCCACCUGUCCAAUUCUUGUAUCUUUUUUCAGCAUGGUGCGAAUAUCAGUCUUGACUCCAAAGGGCAAUUCUUGGCUCUCUCCAGAGGAAUUAAACUGUUUGAAAAGGCUG
Vombatus ursinus (common wombat) is the source of this 1923-nucleotide long non-coding RNA. RefSeq lists it as uncharacterized. The transcript is spliced from 3 exons. The record is from RefSeq and is a predicted model, not a curated record. NCBI's taxonomy places the organism in Eukaryota, Metazoa, Chordata, Mammalia, Diprotodontia, Vombatidae.